This 87-nucleotide transfer RNA is filed under the name Candidatus Bathyarchaeota archaeon. Its description in RNAcentral is "tRNA-Gly". It matches the Rfam family "tRNA". From Rfam's summary of the family: Transfer RNA (tRNA) molecules are approximately 80 nucleotides in length. Their secondary structure includes four short double-helical elements and three loops (D, anti-codon, and T loops). Further hydrogen bonds mediate the characteristic L-shaped molecular structure. tRNAs have two regions of fundamental functional importance: the anti-codon, which is responsible for specific mRNA codon recognition, and the 3' end, to which the tRNAs corresponding amino acid is attached (by aminoacyl-tRNA synthetases). tRNAs cope with the degeneracy of the genetic code in two manners: having more than one tRNA (with a specific anti-codon) for a particular amino acid; and 'wobble' base-pairing, i.e. permitting non-standard base-pairing at the 3rd anti-codon position. Lineage: Archaea; Thermoproteati; Candidatus Bathyarchaeota. The record is from RNAcentral.
GCGAUGGUUGCCGAGAUUGGAAAAGGCGCGAGAAUUCCGAUCUCGUCCCGAAGGGGUUCGAGGGUUCAAAUCCCUCCCCUCGCACCA